UACGUAGGUGACAAGCGUUGUCCGGAUUUACUGGGCGUAAAGAGCGCGCAGGCGGUCGAUCAAGUCGAGUGUGAAAGCCCCCGGCUCAACUGGGGAGGGUCAUUCGAUACUGAUCGACUCGAAGGCAGGAGAGGGUAGUGGAAUUCCCGGUGUAGUGGUGAAAUGCGUAGAUAUUGGGAAGAACACCGGUGGCGAAGGCGGCUAUCUGGCCCGUAAUUGACGCUGAGGCGCGAAAGCGUGGGGAGCAAACAGG
This 253-nucleotide ribosomal RNA is filed under the name uncultured bacterium. Its description in RNAcentral is "partial 16S ribosomal RNA". It matches the Rfam family "Bacterial small subunit ribosomal RNA", at positions 524 to 776 of the family's 1533-position model. The record is from RNAcentral.